RNAcentral lists this unclassified non-coding RNA (368 nucleotides) under Hevea brasiliensis (rubber tree). Lineage: Eukaryota; Viridiplantae; Streptophyta; Magnoliopsida; Malpighiales; Euphorbiaceae. The record is from RNAcentral.
GGGGAUGCUGGGGGUGAUGGAGGUGGUGCAGAUGGUAGUGGUGUUGAGGGUGUUGUUGUAGAUGGUCGCGUUGAUGAUGGUGGAGAUGGAGGGGGGGCAGCUGGAAUUGCGGGCCUGGCGGAUUGAGGAGGUUGAGCUGAAGAGUUAAAAGAGGUUGAAGGGACCGGGGGAUCAGUUGUCUGAUCAGGCAAAGUUAUUGCAGGUGGAGGUAAAGUGGACGUAGAAUUUGAUGGUAAAGAAGGGGCUGUUGUUGAUGAUGGUGAGGUGGCGGAGGAUGUUGUUGGUGGAACUGCAGAAGGGGAAGAAUUUGGUGAAGGUGAUGUUGAGGCCAUGUCUGUUUCCAACAAAAUGUACGAGAAACUAUACCU